GACGAACGCUGGCGGCGUGCUUAACACAUGCAAGUCGAACGGUGAAGCGCCUUCCUUUUUGGUGGGUGUGGAUGAGUGGCGAACGGGUGAGUAACACGUGAGUAACCUGCCCCCUUCUUCUGGAUAACCGCAUGAAAGUGUGGCUAAUACGGGAUAUUCUGGGUCUGUCGCAUGAUGGGUCUGGGAAAGAUAUUGUUUCGGUGGGGGAUGGGCUCGCGGCCUAUCAGCUUGUUGGUGGGGUGAUGGCCUACCAAGGCGGUGACGGGUAGCCGGCCUGAGAGGGUGGACGGUCACACUGGGACUGAGACACGGCCCAGACUCCUACGGGAAGCAGCAGUGGGGAAUAUUGCACAAUGGGCGCAAGCCUGAUGCAGCGACGCCGCGUGAGGGAUGGAGGCCUUCGGGUUGUGAACCUCUUUCGCCAGUGAAGCAGGCCUGCCUCGUUUGUGGGUGGGUUGACGGUAGCUGGAUAAGAAGCGCCGGCUAACUACGUG
RNAcentral lists this ribosomal RNA (494 nucleotides) under uncultured bacterium. Its description in RNAcentral is "partial 16S ribosomal RNA". It matches the Rfam family "Bacterial small subunit ribosomal RNA", at positions 28 to 507 of the family's 1533-position model. The record is from RNAcentral.